RNAcentral lists this non-coding RNA (148 nucleotides) under Nomascus leucogenys (northern white-cheeked gibbon). The record is from Rfam by way of RNAcentral. Lineage: Eukaryota; Metazoa; Chordata; Mammalia; Primates; Hylobatidae.
GCCAGGUGUGGUGGUGCACGCCUGUAGUCCCAGCUACUCAGGAGGCUGAGGCAGAAGAAUCGCUUGAACCUGGGGGAUGGAGGUUGCAGUGAGCCAAGAUCGCGCCACUGCACUCCAGCCUGGGUGACAGAGCGAGAUACUGUCUCAA